UAAAGAGUUCUAUAACUCCCAAACCCAUGUGAACAUACCUAACGUUGCCUCGGCAGGUCGCACCUACCUUGUAGCACCCUACCCUGUAGGGCCUACCCGGGAGGUGCGGGUAAGCCUGCCGGCGGCCCACCAAACUCUGUUUGAUAUUGAAUUCUGAACCUAUAACUAAAUAAGUUAAAACUUUCAACAACGGAUCUCUUGGUUCUGGCAUCGAUGAAGAACGCAGCGAAAUGCGAUAAGUAAUGUGAAUUGCAGAAUUCAGUGAAUCAUCGAAUCUUUGAACGCAUAUUGCGCCCAUUAGUAUUCUAGUGGGCAGGACCGUUCGAGCGUCAUUUCAACCCUUAAGCCUUCGUUGCUUAGUGUUGGGAGCCUACGGCAACGUAGCUCCUCAAAGUUAGUGGCGGAGUUGGUUCACACUCUAGACGUAGUAAUUUUUUAUCUCGCCUAUUAGUUGGACUAAUCCCCUGCCGUAAAACCCCCAAUUUAUCAAGGUUGACCUCGAAUCGGUUCAGACAAACUCGCUAAAUUGAAGCAUCUUAGUCAGCGAAGGAAAAGAAACCAACAGGGAUUGCCCUAGUAACGGCGAGUGAAGCGGCAACAGCUCAAAUUUGAAAUCUGGCCCUCGGGUCCGAGUUGUAAU
RNAcentral lists this ribosomal RNA (640 nucleotides) under fungal endophyte. RNAcentral's name for it is "eukaryotic LSU rRNA". The stretch from base 179 to 332 matches the Rfam family "5.8S ribosomal RNA". The record is from RNAcentral. Lineage: Eukaryota; Fungi.